GACGAACGCUGGCGGCGUGCUUAACACAUGCAAGUCGAACGGAAAGGCCCUGCUUUUGUGGGGUGCUCGAGUGGCGAACGGGUGAGUAACACGUGAGUAACCUGCCCUUGACUUUGGGAUAACUUCAGGAAACUGGGGCUAAUACCGGAUAGGAGCUCCUGCUGCAUGGUGGGGGUUGGAAAGUUUCGGCGGUUGGGGAUGGACUCGCGGCUUAUCAGCUUGUUGGUGGGGUAGUGGCUUACCAAGGCUUUGACGGGUAGCCGGCCUGAGAGGGUGACCGGCCACAUUGGGACUGAGAGACGGCCCAGUCUCCUACGGGAGGCAGCAGUGGGGAAUAUUGCACAAUGGGCGGAAGCCUGAUGCAGCAACGCCGCGUGCGGGAUGACGGCCUUCGGGUUGUAAACCGCUUUCGCCUGUGACGAAGCGUGAGUGACGGUAAUGGGUAAAGAAGCACCGGCUAACUACGUG
RNAcentral lists this ribosomal RNA (468 nucleotides) under uncultured bacterium. RNAcentral's name for it is "partial 16S ribosomal RNA". It matches the Rfam family "Bacterial small subunit ribosomal RNA", at positions 28 to 507 of the family's 1533-position model. The record is from RNAcentral.